This 681-nucleotide long non-coding RNA is filed under the name Cricetulus griseus (Chinese hamster). RNAcentral describes it as "lncRNA (ENSCGRG00015040216.1)". Lineage: Eukaryota; Metazoa; Chordata; Mammalia; Rodentia; Cricetidae. The record is from RNAcentral.
GCAGGCACCAUCAUUGUAAUGGAGAAUGCAGGGGCAGCUCCCUACACAGUGUGGCAUUGAUGUGUGUAAACAGACAAGAUAAUGGGAGCUGAAGGUUUGUUUCCUGAAAAAGCAGCAGACGGGAGGAAGAGGAGGACAUAGGCCUAAGACACAGAACAAGUCAGCCUGGAUUCCAGACCACCAGGUGCUAAACUGGGAAUCUGCGCCAGAGCCUAGGAGGGAAAGAACUGAGCAGCAGGUACAUGUGCAGGCUGAUAAUCGGGAAUGAGAACUCGGAGAAUAAGGAUUGCACAAUGCAGAGUUCAGGGGCGGGGCUGUGUAGAAUGCAAGCCAGAGCACUGGCACUUGUACCUACUUAUCAUCAUGCUUCUUCCAAGCAAAGUUUCGGCAGGGUGUUCAGGAAGAGAUUUGAGCUGAACUUGGUCCCCCGCCCCCCAAAUGACUGAAUCCCACGAAGUCACACUUCUUUUUGGAUAUUUUCCAGCUUUAGUUGAAAGACCCCCGCCCUUAGCUUUUUCUUUUAAGUUUCCCCGCGCGCGCAGCUGGCGGAGCGCGUGGGGAAUACAUCCUCCCCAGCACUCUCCCCGACCCUUGAACCCUGCAGCUGCUGGCUCUCACUCCCCGCCCCGCGCAAGGCCAACCCCCGCCGGAUCGCUCCGGAUCGCUCUGUCCCAAGGCCAG